This 665-nucleotide long non-coding RNA is filed under the name Aedes aegypti (yellow fever mosquito). RNAcentral describes it as "lncRNA AAEL021504". Lineage: Eukaryota; Metazoa; Arthropoda; Insecta; Diptera; Culicidae. The record is from RNAcentral.
AGAUUCGAAUGUUAUUUUGCAUCUCUCAUUGAUGCGAUAGUAAGUCUCGCAACACUGCCAUAGUUUGUUUUGCGCAUCAUGGCGGUCGAUGUUGCAGUUCGUGUUGUUUUGAGUUUCGUUGCGGCUUUUGGUACGGCUCAUCUCGGUCGCAGUAGCUGUAAAUUCGGACACUUUCUUCGGAUCCAUCACCUUCCUCGUUCGGAAGCAGAAGGUUCCGGUGCCACUCACAUCCAGGAUGGAAGGAACAGAUUUGGAAUACAAGUCCGAACGUAGGUAUUGGGGGAAGUGGGGAAGUUUCCCCAUGACAGGAGGAUGGAAGUACAAUGGCAGAGAAGCCUACGGAUUUUUGUUGUGCACCUGGAUGAGCUGGAGAAUGUAACCAAAUACAUCCAUGAAUGCCCGAUCCGGUGAAUCCCUAAUACAGCCAACCAACGAUAACGAUACAGAUUGGUACGAAAAACAUGAACGGGCUCUGUGAAUCAUUGAACUGGUUGCUGAGGGAACCAAACCACAUCCUCGAGUGCACGUAUCUAAUCUGGAAGGGUUCACUGCGGUUCCUCGGAUUCAUGAUUUGAAGCCUCCCAGCCUUAUGCUCUGCAUUUGAAUAAUUCUCCAAUAAAUAUGUAAUACCUAAAUGCUGCAAUAAAAAUAAUUGAUAAUUGAAA